GGCUCAGUGGUCUAGUCGUAUGAUUCCCGCUUCGGAGACACCGGAGCUUCAGGUGAUUACACCUUAAUUGCGGGAGGUCCCGGGUUCAAAUCCCGGCUGAGCCC
RNAcentral lists this transfer RNA (104 nucleotides) under Penicillium arizonense. It matches the Rfam family "tRNA". Rfam says of the family: Transfer RNA (tRNA) molecules are approximately 80 nucleotides in length. Their secondary structure includes four short double-helical elements and three loops (D, anti-codon, and T loops). Lineage: Eukaryota; Fungi; Ascomycota; Eurotiomycetes; Eurotiales; Aspergillaceae. The record is from Rfam by way of RNAcentral.